Limanda limanda (common dab) is the source of this 2616-nucleotide RNA transcript. RefSeq lists it as uncharacterized. NCBI's taxonomy places the organism in Eukaryota, Metazoa, Chordata, Actinopteri, Pleuronectiformes, Pleuronectidae. The transcript has 2 exons. The record is from RefSeq and is a predicted model, not a curated record.
UUCUGAUGGCCAGUGUGGAGGAUUUUCUCAGAGCUCCUUCGGAGGAGUUGUUGAACAGCUGUUCUAGAGACCAGCUGUUGAAAAUCGCAGAGCAUUAUCAUGCGCAGGUCGGGGAUAAGAGGUCAAAAGAGGGCAUUAGGUUUAGCAUAAAAACGCAUUUGGUAGAAGCAGGGAUUAUCACAGAAACUUAUGCUGCUGCUGAUUUACCUGUUGCUAUGGAAGCUAGGUUUUCUUUUGACCAGAACAAGGAGUUGCUUUUGUUGCAGAUGGAGAGAGAGAGAGUGGCUCUUGAGAGAGUAAAACAAGAGGUUGAGGGUAAAAGACUUGAGCUGGAGGUGCGUAGGUUGCCUGCUGUAGCUAUGGGUGUAGGCCAGCGUGGUCAUCCUGCCCCUGGUCAUGGGUUUGAUGUUGCCAAGGAUCUGCGUUUGGUUCCUCAGUUUAAUGAACAGGACCUCGAGACUUUUUUCUUGCUUUUUGAGCGGGUAAGCGAAAGUAGAAACUGGUCAGACGCUGACAGCACAUUACUUUUACAGUGUGUUUUAAUAGGUAAAGCACAGGAAGCCUACUCUGCUCUCACUGUCGCGGACAGUAGAGUUUAUCUUAAUGUCAAGGCUGCAGUGUUAAGGGCGUAUGAGUUAGUGCCUGAGGCGUAUCGCCAGAAGUUCCGUACAUGGGAGAAAUCGGUUAAACAGACGCAUGUGGAGUUUGCCAGGGAGCUGGCUUCUCAUUUCACUCGGUGGGGUGCUGCCCUGAAAGUUGACACGUAUGAAGCUUUGUGUGACUUGAUUGUGCUGGAACAGUUCAAGAUCUCCAUCCCUAGCCACAUUGCUGUUCAUAUCACUGAGCGUAGAGUGAUGACUGCUGCAGAGGCUGCUGUACUGGCAGACGAGUAUGUGCUUACCCACAGGGAAAACCGGGAGCUCUGUUCUCGUGAUGUUGGGCACAGAGGGGGAAGCAGGGUGUUUCGUGCAGGUACAGGAAGGGAAGCAUUUAGUCCUCGCUCAGGUAGGUCAGAAUUUGCUACACGUGGUCAGAUGGAGUUUGACUCAAACACAUGCCAUUACUGUGGGGGCAAGGGCCAUUGGAAAGGGGAGUGUCCAAAAACUAAACGUGGAAGCGGUAGGGGACAGGUUACACCAGCACUGUUUGCUGGUUCUGUUGACUCAACCAAUUCUGUUUCUCCCUGUCAACAUGUGCAAUCUGGAGUGAAAGGCAGCUUGGGGUCUGAUUUCUCUGCGUUCUUGUCGGACGGCUUCGUGUCACUUGUGGGGAGUGACAUCACUGUACCGGUAAAGAUUCUGAGGGACACUGGGGCUUUUAAUUCAUACAUAGUGAGCUCUGUCUUACCCUUUUCUGGAGAUUCUGAUACAGGGGACCUGGUUUAGAUGCGAGGUAUGGGUUUGAGUGUGUUCCCUGUCCCACUGCAUAAGAUGGUGUUCAACUGUGGGUUGGUCAAAGGUGAGGUGGUCAUGGGCGUGCGGCCGGCAUUGCCCAUUGAGGGCGUGGAGGUCAUAGUGGGAAAUGACCUGGCAGGUAGCAGUGUGUGGGCGGGAACUCAGCCAAAUCCCAUUCCUCCAAUAGUGACAUCCUCACCCUGUGUUACAGGAGAACCCGAUGAGAGUGCUCAGCGCUUUCCUGGGGUGUUUACUGCCUGUGCAGUGACACGGGCUAUGGGCCGUGCAGAGUCGGGGCCUGAACCUGCAUCUGAGCAGGAGGGGGCAGAAGAGAGGGUGCCUAUUCCUAACUCUCUUUUGUCCGUUUCUCGCAGUGGCUUAGUGGCGGAGCAGAGAGCUGAUUCCUCGCUGAGCCAACUGUUUGACUUGGUUCUCACCACGGAGGAAGGAAGGAGUGCUGCUAGUGGGUACUUGCUUCAGGACAAGUUGCUGCUCCAUGCAUGGAUCAACCUUUCCAACUUCAUGUGGAUGCAGGUGAUGUAAGCACAGGUGCUGUUUUGUUUCAAAGUGACACCCAGGGUGUUGAACGUCCCGUGAGUUUUUACUCAAAGAAAUUUAAUUCUUUUCAGUUAAAUUAUUCUGUUAUGGAAAAAGAGACAUUGUCACUCAUCUGGCCAUUGCAACAUUUUGAGUGGUCUACACAGACCACAACCCGAUCACCUUUUUGCACUCGGUGCUUUGUCCAAACCGCAGGUUGAUGCGUUGGAUUUUGUUUUUGCAAGCCUACUGUUUGGACAUCCGUUACAUCAAAGGCUCUGAAAAUAUUGUGGCAGAUGCCUUGUCGAGAGCAACUUGCUCUUAAGUUCUGUAUUAAUUUUGUCUUUGUUUUACCUGCUCUGUCUCUCUGCUUUUCUCUCUGGGGACCGGAGUUACUAGGUGGCGGGGUUGACGAAGGCUGGCAGUUCCAGGUGGGAACGUUUUUUUAUGGGUGGGGGUGUGACGACCCUCCACUCCACUAGGGGUCUUCUCUCUUUCAGGUGUCCUGGUGGAGUGAUGGGUCAUCAGGCUGAUGAGCCACAGCUGUGCCCGGGCUGGUUAUAUCAGGACAACUCCAGUUCGGGGGAAAUUCCCCUUCCCGGUUGCAGACGGCUGUACUCUACUUGGUUGUUGACUUUGGCUUGUUAAAACUUAGUGUUACAAUAAAUACUUGUUAUUUUGUUCA